RNAcentral lists this unclassified non-coding RNA (403 nucleotides) under Hevea brasiliensis (rubber tree). The record is from RNAcentral. Lineage: Eukaryota; Viridiplantae; Streptophyta; Magnoliopsida; Malpighiales; Euphorbiaceae.
GGAAAUAACUCUUAAUUAAAAUAACAAUUAAUAUCCAAUAAUAAUAGGAAGUAAAUCCCGAAAAUUCAACCAGCUUUGCUGAGGGGUCCCACAAUACGUCCAUAAUAGACAAUUAGGCAAAAACUGUUUGGUUAGUAGCAUAUACAUAUUAUAAAUUAUAAUAUUGCAAUGUUGGGACAGAAAUGUUUAAAAAGUGGUAACAUCAUUUUGUUUAGCUUGUAUACAUAUAAUAAAUUAUAAUAUUGCAAUGUGCGGACAUAAAUGUUUAAAAAGUGGCAACAUCAUUUUGUUUAGCUUUCAUAAACGAGCUUAAGCAAAGCUCUACACAAAAUCCGCUCCAUCAUGCCACACUUGCAGCCCCCUUUCUCCCCCCUUGUCUCUGUCCAAAAAAAAAAAAAAAAAG